Cygnus olor (mute swan) is the source of this 338-nucleotide long non-coding RNA. RefSeq lists it as uncharacterized. NCBI's taxonomy places the organism in Eukaryota, Metazoa, Chordata, Aves, Anseriformes, Anatidae. The transcript is spliced from 3 exons. The record is from RefSeq and is a predicted model, not a curated record.
AUUCUCCAUUUUUUCUAGAAACUGAUGGCAAGAUCCUUUCCAGAAGAUGUUAUUCCGUCAGUAAUAAGAUAUUGGUCUCAGAAAAAAAAAAAAAAAAAAAAAAAAAUCUAUGGGUGGAAAUGUCUGUCUCUUACCACACGCUCACUCCUGACCCCUCAGGAUUGCACAGAGGCUGGAACUGCAUUAGUUGCUGUGAGAACUGGGGAUGAGAGGAUAAGGGUGAAAACUAUAAUGAACAGGAGACGGAUGGCUGUGAAACACACUGAAGGUAAGACGAAUAGACACUGUUAGGGCUCAACUGGCUGACUUCUGGACUUUAGAAACAAUUUGUUGCUUGG